Molecule: ribosomal RNA, 271 nt
Filed under: uncultured bacterium
Lineage: Bacteria
Description: partial 16S ribosomal RNA
Rfam family: Bacterial small subunit ribosomal RNA
Source: RNAcentral
UACUGAAGGUGCAAGCGUUAAUCGGAAUUACUGGGCGUAAAGCGCGCGUAGGCGGUUUGAUAAGUGGGAUGUGAACCCCGGGCUUAACCUGGGAACUGCAUUCCAAACUGUCAGACUAGAGUAUGGUAGAGGCUGGUAGAAUUUCCUGUGUAGCGGUGAAAUGCGUAGAUAUAGGAAGGAAUACCGAUGGCGAAGGCAGCCAGCUGGACCAAUACUGACGCUGAGGUGCGAAAGCGUGGGGAGCAAACAGGAUUAGAUACCCGCGUAGUCC